This 1365-nucleotide ribosomal RNA is filed under the name uncultured organism. Its description in RNAcentral is "bacterial SSU rRNA". It matches the Rfam family "Bacterial small subunit ribosomal RNA". The record is from RNAcentral.
AGCUUGCUCCCUGCUGACGACCGGCGCACGGGUGAGUAAUGUAUAUGUGACGUGCCUUCUAGACGGGGAUAGCCACUGGAAACGGUGAUAAUACCCGAUACUCCCUUCGGGGGAAAUGCUUUCGCGCUAGAAGAUCGGCCUGUAUCGUAUCAGCUUGUUGGUGGGGUAAUGGCCUACCAAGGCGAUGACGCGUAGCCGGCCUGAGAGGGUGAUCGGCCACACUGGUACUGAGACACGGACCAGACUCCUACGGGAGGCAGCAGUGGGGAAUAUUGGACAAUGGGGGCAACCCUGAUCCAGCAAUGCCGCGUGGAGGAUGACGGAUUUCGGUCUGUAAACUCCUUUUUUCAGAGAAGAUCAUGACGGUAUCUGAAGAACAAGCACCGGCUAACUCCGUGCCAGCAGCCGCGGUAAUACGGAGGGUGCAAGCGUUACUCGGAAUCACUGGGCGUAAAGCGCGCGCAGGCGGACUUUCAAGUCUUGAGUGAAAUCCUAUGGCUUAACCAUAGAACUGCUUGGGAAACUGGGAGUCUAGAGUGUGGGAGAGGCAGGUGGAAUUCCCGGUGUAGGGGUAAAAUCCGUAGAGAUCGGGAGGAAUACCUAUUGCGAAGGCGACCUGCUGGAACACAACUGACGCUGAGGCGCGAAAGCGUGGGUAGCAAACAGGAUUAGAUACCCUGGUAGUCCACGCCCUAAACGAUGGAUGCUAGUUGCUGUGGCGCUCGUCGUUGCAGUAAUACAGCUAACGCAUUAAGCAUCCCGCCUGGGGAGUACGGUCGCAAGAUUAAAACUCAAAGGAAUAGACGGGGACCCGCACAAGCGGUGGAGCAUGUGGUUUAAUUCGAAGAUACGCGAAGAACCUUACCCGGGCUUGACAUCCUUGGAACCCGCUGGAAACAGUGGGGUGCUAGCUUGCUAGAGCCAAGUGACAGGUGCUGCACGGCCGUCGUCAGCUCGUGUCGUGAGAUGUUGGGUUAAGUCCCGCAACGAGCGCAACCCUCGUCCUUAGUUGCUAACGGGUUAUGCCGAGAACUCUAAGGAGACUGCCCUCGCAAGGGGGAGGAAGGUGAGGAUGACGUCAGGUCAUCAUGGCCCUUACGCCCGGGGCAACACACGUGCUACAAUGGGUAGGACAAAGAGACGCAAGACCGCGAGGUGGAGCAAAUCUUUAAACCUACUCUCAGUUCGGAUUGCUCUCUGCAACUCGAGAGCAUGAAGCCGGAAUCGCUAGUAAUCGUAGAUCAGCUAUGCUACGGUGAUACGUUCCCGGGUCUUGUACUCACCGCCCGUCACACCAUGGGAGUUGAUUUCACCCGAAGUCGGGAAGCUAAACUGGCUACCGCCCACGGCGGAAUCAGCGACUGG